This 75-nucleotide transfer RNA is filed under the name Dallia pectoralis (Alaska blackfish). Its description in RNAcentral is "tRNA-OTHER". The record is from RNAcentral. Lineage: Eukaryota; Metazoa; Chordata; Actinopteri; Esociformes; Umbridae.
GGAGCAGUUGGUGGCUCAGUGGUAGAGUGCAUGAUUGUGUGUAUGACGUCCUGUGUUCAAAUCCCAGCUGCUCCC